This 274-nucleotide ribosomal RNA is filed under the name uncultured bacterium. RNAcentral describes it as "partial 16S ribosomal RNA". It matches the Rfam family "Archaeal small subunit ribosomal RNA", at positions 473 to 747 of the family's 1478-position model. The record is from RNAcentral.
AAACCAGCACCUCAAGUGGUCAGGAGGAUUAUUGGGCCUAAAGCAUCCGUAGCCUGUUCUGUAAGUUUCCGGUUAAAUCCAUUAGCUCAACUAAUGGGCUGCCGAAAAUACUGUAGAACUAGGGAGUGGGAGAGGUAGACGGUAUUCGGUAGGAAGGGGUAAAAUCCUUUGAUCUAUUGAGGACCACCUGUGGCGAAGGCGGUCUACCAGAACACGUUCGACGGUGAGGGAUGAAAGCUGGGGGAGCAAACCGGAUUAGAAACCCGGGUAGUCC